UUGAUUGUUACUGGCGUUCAUCUGGUCUGACUACGGUUCGCAUGCAAGAGUUUGCGGCUGGACCUCCCCCGCGCCCCGUCGGGGCGCGGGGAAGCAACGUGGUUUGGUACGCGGAAUGGUUUGAGACGGCAUGCAGAGGGUCGACGGAGCCGAUCUAAGGCCGAGCGUGUUGGGCGCGACCCCGCUGCGCUCGGGUUCCGACCCGUGACCGCACGGUAGGCGGCCACCCAAACAGCGGGAAAUCGACUCGGGGUCGCCGUUACUGUCCCCACUCUGCUCAUCGGAGGGUGCAGGCUACGCCCCCCCCACAGGCCCGGACUACGGGCCCAUCUGCAAGUGCUGUUGUCAUUGGGUAAUGAUCCUUCCGCAGGUUCACCUACGGAAA
RNAcentral lists this unclassified non-coding RNA (385 nucleotides) under uncultured fungus. RNAcentral describes it as "sequence contains ITS1". The record is from RNAcentral. Lineage: Eukaryota; Fungi.